UACGUAGGGUGCAAGCGUUGUCCGGAAUUAUUGGGCGUAAAGAGCUCGUAGGCGGCCUGUCGCGUCGGCUGUGAAAACCCGGGGCUCAACCCCGGGCCUGCAGUCGAUACGGGCAGGCUAGAGUCCGGCAGGGGAGACUGGAAUUCCUGGUGUAGCGGUGAAAUGCGCAGAUAUCAGGAGGAACACCGAUGGCGAAGGCAGGUCUCUGGGCAUUAACUGACGCUGAGGAGCGAAAGCAUGGGGAGCGAACAGG
RNAcentral lists this ribosomal RNA (253 nucleotides) under uncultured bacterium. RNAcentral's name for it is "partial 16S ribosomal RNA". It matches the Rfam family "Bacterial small subunit ribosomal RNA", at positions 524 to 776 of the family's 1533-position model. The record is from RNAcentral.